UAUAUGAUGAUCAACUGUAAAAACUUGACUAUUUUUAGCCAUGCAAUGAUCUGGGACAAUCCUGAAAGAUUCAUGGUGAGAAAUGUUCUCCUCCUCCAGGGAAAGAACUCUGGGAGUCAGAUAGGUAGAGAUUAAAGCAUAUGAUCUUUCCCAUCAGGGUAUUUAUGGAUUUAUUUUGGGGUUUCGAAUAUACAUGAGUGUGCUCUGACAACAAUGACCAAUAUGGAACUGUGUUUUGCAUGAUAAUAGUAGUAGUAGUUGUAGUAGUAGUAGUGUCUCCGCAACCUAGGAUGACUAUUGUCUUUGUGUGUUUUUGUGCACAAAGACACUUGUGCAUGAAGAUUUAAGUGGAAAAGUUGAUGCACAGAGACAGUCCCACUCUCUCGGCAUUGGAAGCCUGGGUCCAGUGGCACAAAAAGUCGUUACAUCUGGAGACUUUCUCAGUUGCAUUGGAUGGCUGUGUUGUCCUUCGUGCUCCAACACGCCCUAAGCACUCCACAGUGCCUUGUUGCGUAGCCAUCUCAGCCGUUGAACCUUCUUAUUGGUUUCUUUCGUCUGUUCAGCGGAAGCAGUCUUCACAUGCUGGCCCAUGGAGGAGGUUAAUAUACAACAUGCGGUACUUGAUUACCUGAAAAGGUGCCUACUUCCUACUACUGAGUACCACGUUUGGGGGAAGGACAGUGUUCAAGAGGAUGGUGGGCCUGGGAAGCCAUGCCCAAGAGGACCAGCUGAAGAAAUUGAGCUUGGAGGAAAGGAGACUUGAGUGGUGCCCAAAUAUUUGAAAGUCCUAGCUUGCAAGAGCCUAUGGUUAAAUUUUCAGUGGAACUAACAAAAGCCAUCUGGCGCGAGUUGAGGGUGGGCACCCCCUUAUUUCUUCGUCAAAAAGAUCGAGGUGCCAGAUGACUGGAAGACAGCAUGACCUUGGGGCACACUGCAGCUCUUCUGGACAACUAGGUGAC
Non-coding RNA from Monodelphis domestica (gray short-tailed opossum), 959 nucleotides. The record is from RefSeq and is a predicted model, not a curated record. Lineage: Eukaryota; Metazoa; Chordata; Mammalia; Didelphimorphia; Didelphidae.